CAGAUUGAGUACAGAAGACAUGUAAGUAUGAAGUACGCUUCCUGGUGGGGGAGGGGGGAUGUGGUAAUAUUACAGAAGACAUGUGAGUAUAAAGUAUGCCUCCUGGUGGGGAGGGGGGUGUGGUAAUUUUACAGAUUGAGUGAUUGAGUACAGAAGACAUGUAAGUAUAAAGUACACCUCCCGGUGCGGGAGAUUCUUGCUGUAAUGAAUACCCAUUGGUGGACUUUGGCUGUUGUUUGCUCUUUGGUUGGGUUGUUGUCUCUUAGAAACAUUCCCCAUUUCCAAUCUCAAUUGUAUAAGAUAUCUAUUUUAAACUAAUUCCAUAUCACAAGGGUUGGCUGGGGUAUGGAAAUAUGGUCAUCUCUUUGAAUGCUUUAAGGGCAUACGAUACAGUUGCAGGAGAGUUAAUGACUUUGCUAACUUAAAUUGUUAUUAUCAGGAAAAGAUUCAGUUUUCGACAGAUUUUUAUCAUUCAAACUUAUUUUACUUGAAAACGGCUUCAUGGACCCCUCAUUUUUAAAAAUGACAUUUUGGUUUGAUCGUCCGAGAAGAUUAUUGUGUGCCAAUUUUCAUGAAAAUGUAAAUAGUGCAAUUUUUUAAAUUUGAUAAUAUACAGCAAAAUGAUGUUUUUUCUACAUUCAUGACAUUUGAUAAAUAGGUUUUUCUGAAUAAAAAUUGUAUAAACUUUUAGGAUACUUAAAAAAUACAGAAAUUACAAAUUAUUUAACAAAAAAAACAAUUUGUGUUUAUCUUUUAAAACAAAAAAGUUAUGUCUUUCUUUCGAAAGGGAAAAUACAUCCACAAAUCCGAAUUUAAUACACAAAAUUUCGACCUUUUUUAACUCAAAAGUAGCACAUGAAGGUAUAUUUUUUAUUACAACUUUAAUUUAAUUAGGUAAAAAAUAGUCUAUAUGGAAAUUUUUAUCAAAAUGUAAAUAUGGGAUCAAAACUGUAUCGUAUGCCCUUAACUGUUAUGGGUGUAUGACCCUUGCUAAAGUGGGGUGUCUAUUGGAGUGUUUAGUUCUACAGCUAUGUCUGGUUGGAAUCAUGACAUUAUAUCCAAUGGGUGUGUGUGUCUGAUAAUAUUCCGUCCUUUUUUUCUAGAAAAAUUAAUAGAAUAUGUGACUUGGUUAAUGCCAUGAUAUCACAUAUGAAUUUGACAGUUUGAUAACAAAACGGCUGAUCUCAUGCAAUUUCAGUGAUUUUUAUGCCCCACCUAUGAUAGUAGAGGGGCAUUAUGUUUUCUGGUCUGUGCCUCCGUUCGUCCGUCUGUGCGUCCGUUCAUCCGUCUGUGCGUCUGUUUCGCAUCAGGUUAAAGUAUUUGGUCAAGGUAGUUUUUGAAGAAGUUGAAGUCUAAUCAACUUGAAACUUAGUACACAUGUUCCCUAUGAUAUGAUCUUUCUAAUUUUAAUUCCAAAUUAAAGUUUUGACCCCAAUUUCACGGUUCACUGAACACAGAAAAUGAUAUUGGAGUGGGGCAUCCGUGUACUUGGGACACAUUCUUGUUAAAAGUAAAAUUGAACCACACUUUCAGUAUAUUUAAAACAAAUUAAUUAUCAACAGGUGAAGACAAAUUGACUUUGAAUUAGAUAAACAAAUAUUUCCUUAUUUUCUAUAUAAUUAGGAUUUUAUUUAUAAUUUCAGAGCAUUAAAGCACAAGUACUAUCCAUUUAACGAGGAGUUUUGAGUAACUUUUGACACAGCUGUUAUGCCAUUUAACGAGGAAUUUUGAGUAACUUUUGACACAGCUGUUGAAACCAAAGAUUGCCUUAUAUUUACAGAGCUUCCUACAGACAUUUCUUUAUAUGCUUAAUGCUUUGUAUAUUAUUCUCUACAAGCCGAUAGGAAAUAUGUUUUUAUACA
RNAcentral lists this long non-coding RNA (1862 nucleotides) under Mytilus galloprovincialis (Mediterranean mussel). The record is from RNAcentral. Lineage: Eukaryota; Metazoa; Mollusca; Bivalvia; Mytilida; Mytilidae.